Molecule: ribosomal RNA, 305 nt
Filed under: uncultured bacterium
Lineage: Bacteria
Description: bacterial SSU rRNA
Rfam family: Bacterial small subunit ribosomal RNA
Source: RNAcentral
AUACCUACGGGAGGCAGCAGUCGGGAAUAUUGCGCAAUGGAGGAAACUCUGACGCAGUGACGCCGCGUAUAGGAAGAAGGUUUUCGGAUUGUAAACUAUUGUCGUUAGGGAAGAUAAAAGACUGUACCUAAGGAGGAAGCCCCGGCUAACUAUGUGCCAGCAGCCGCGGUAAUACAUAGGGGGCAAGCGUUAUCCGGAAUUAUUGGGUGUAAAGGGUGCGUAGACGGAGAAACAAGUUGGUUGUGAAAUCCCUCGGCUCAACUGAGGAACUGCAACCAAAACUAUUUCCCUGGAGUGCUGGAGAG